AGCAGUAGCCACGGGAAUACGAAGGGGGCUAGCGUUGCUCGGAAUGACUGGGCGUAAAGGGCGCGUAGGCGGCGGCCAAAGUCAGGCGUGAAAUUCCCGGGCUCAACCUGGGGGCUGCGUUUGAUACUUGGUUGCUUGAGUGGGGAAGAGGGUCGUGGAAUUCCCAGUGUAGAGGUGAAAUUCGUAGAUAUUGGGAAGAACACCGGUGGCGAAGGCGGCGACCUGGUCCUUUACUGACGCUGAGGCGCGAAAGCGUGGGGAGCAAACAGGAUUAGAUACCCGAGUAGUCCCUGUCUCUUAUAC
Molecule: ribosomal RNA, 303 nt
Filed under: uncultured bacterium
Lineage: Bacteria
Description: partial 16S ribosomal RNA
Rfam family: Bacterial small subunit ribosomal RNA
Source: RNAcentral